UCGAGGGGCAGCGGGUGGAGUAUUUCGGUACUCCUGCCGGCGACCGGCGCACGGGUGCGUAACGCGUAUGCAACCUACCUUUAACAGGGGGAUAAUCCGAAGAAAUUUGGUCUAAUACCCCAUAAUAUCAUUUAAGGCAUCUUAGAUGGUUGAAAAUUCCGAUGGUUAGAGAUGGGCAUGCGUUGGAUUAGCUAGUUGGUGAGGUAACGGCCCGCCAAGGCGACGAUCCAUAGCCGACCUGAGAGGGUGACCAGCCACAUUGGGACUGAGACACGGCCCAAACUCC
This 286-nucleotide ribosomal RNA is filed under the name uncultured bacterium. RNAcentral's name for it is "partial 16S ribosomal RNA". It matches the Rfam family "Bacterial small subunit ribosomal RNA", at positions 62 to 339 of the family's 1533-position model. The record is from RNAcentral.